GUGUGCGAGUCAUUGGGUAUUUUGUUGAAACCUAAGGGCGCAAUUAAAAUAACUAUUUUAUGGGAUUACAAGUGAAUUAAAUUUCAUUUCUCCAUCCCGGGGCGUUCUAUACGAACAUGGUUUAAGCAAUUGAACCCUCUGUUCAAGAGCGUACCUUGAGCAUACAUGCUGUGACCCGAAAGAUGGUGAACUAUACCUGAUCAGAUCGAAGCCAGGAGAAAUUCUGGUGGAGGAUCGAAACAGUUCUGACGUGCAAAUCGAUUGUCAGAAUUGGGUAUAGGGGCGAAAGACCAAUCGAACCAUCUAGUAGCUGGUUCCCUCCGAAGUUUCCCUCAGGAUAGCUGGCGCAAAUAAUUAUAUUUUAUAUAAUCUUAUCUGGUAAAGCGAAUGAUUAGAGGCCUUGGGGCCGAAACGACCUCAACCUAUUCUCAAACUUUAAAUGGGUAAGAACCUCAUCUUUCUUGAUCUGAAGAUAUUGGGGUUUAGAUAUAUUGUGCCCAGUGGGCCACUUUUGGUAAGCAGAACUGGCGCUGUGGGAUGAACCAAACAUGAUGUUACGGCGCCUAAAUUAAUGACUCAUAUUGAUACCAUGAAAGGCGUUGGUUGCUUAAAACAGCAGGACGGUGGACAUGGAAGUCGUAAUCCGCUAAGGAGUGUGUAACAACUCACCUGCCGAAGCAACUAGCCCUUAAAAUGGAUGGCGCUCAAGUCAUAUGCCUAUACAUCAUCGCUAGAAUAAAAAUUGUUGGCCAUUUUUGGUCAUCAUUAUGAAAUUCUAGUGAGUAGGAGGGUACAAUGGUGUGCGCAGAAGUGUUUGGCGUGAGCCUGCAUGAAGCCGCCAUUGGCACAGAUCUUGGUGGUAGUAGCAAAUAAUCGAAUGAGAUCUUGGAGGACUGAAGUGGAGAAGGGUUUCGUGUGAACAGUGGUUGAUCACGAGUUAGUCGGUCCUAAGCUUUAUGCGAAAGCUGUUUAAUUUAUGUUACACACAAAUAUACUAUUUUAUUGUUGUACAUAAUUCAAUAAAAGCGAAAGGGAAUACGGUUCCAAUUCCGUAACCUGUUGAGUAUACGUUUGUUUAUUAAAAAUGGGUCUUAUUACACUCAUCCUGGCAACAGGAACGACCA
RNAcentral lists this ribosomal RNA (1124 nucleotides) under Epidapus absconditus. RNAcentral's name for it is "eukaryotic LSU rRNA". It matches the Rfam family "Eukaryotic large subunit ribosomal RNA", at positions 682 to 1659 of the family's 3401-position model. Lineage: Eukaryota; Metazoa; Arthropoda; Insecta; Diptera; Sciaridae. The record is from RNAcentral.